CCCAGAGAUUUCUGAUCUUUGAAGAAUUGCCUUUAGAGUUGGUCCAUCAAUACAAGCAUCAAGUGGGCUUGAAAGUAUGGUUGGAGUUAUCACAUGGAGGUAAUGAGUGCAUAAACAUCUUCACGGCUCUCGAGUAUCUUGUUUCGACAUCUUAAAGGAUCUUGCUAGUAUAGUAGAUUGGCUUUUGAUUUUCUGUAUCCU
RNAcentral lists this long non-coding RNA (201 nucleotides) under Elaeis guineensis (African oil palm). RNAcentral describes it as "long non-coding RNA (EGUI_LNC039203)". The record is from RNAcentral. Lineage: Eukaryota; Viridiplantae; Streptophyta; Magnoliopsida; Arecales; Arecaceae.